GACGGAAGGUGCAAGCGUUGCUCGGAAUUACUGGGCGUAAAGCGUGCGCAGGCGGCUUUGCAAGACAGAUGUGAAAUCCCCGGGCUCAACCUGGGAACUGCAUUUGUGACUGCAUCGCUGGAGUGCGGCAGAGGGGGAUGGAAUUCCGCGUGUAGCAGUGAAAUGCGUAGAUAUGCGGAGGAACACCGAUGGCGAAGGCAAUCCCCUGGGCCUGCACUGACGCUCAUGCACGAAAGCGUGGGGAGCAAACAGG
RNAcentral lists this ribosomal RNA (253 nucleotides) under uncultured bacterium. RNAcentral's name for it is "partial 16S ribosomal RNA". It matches the Rfam family "Bacterial small subunit ribosomal RNA", at positions 524 to 776 of the family's 1533-position model. The record is from RNAcentral.